CAGUCGUACCUGCGGGUAAUCAGCCUUUUGGGCAUGAUUCUGUGGAGCGUGAGGAGUUAAACGCCUUCAUGCCUGCAUACUUCGUGCUCUUGGGUUACUUGCCCGUGUGGUAGGUUAACAUCAAUUUCGGACGUCAACAAAAUGAUUGGAGGAAUGUAGCUUUGAUUCUCGUAUCGAAGUGUUA
This 184-nucleotide ribosomal RNA is filed under the name Rhizophagus intraradices. Lineage: Eukaryota; Fungi; Glomeromycota; Glomeromycetes; Glomerales; Glomeraceae. The record is from RNAcentral.